Molecule: non-coding RNA, 273 nt
Organism: Pelobates cultripes (western spadefoot toad)
Lineage: Eukaryota; Metazoa; Chordata; Amphibia; Anura; Pelobatidae
Source: the annotation of a GenBank genome assembly
CUGGACUGUCUGGUCUACACUGAUAGUCUCCGUGUCCCUCUAGUCCUAAGGACUCGUGGGUCAGGGGUUAGUGAGGUUGUUAAGUAAGUCCCUGUGGACCGGGCCCUUAGCGUCUAUAGUCAUUCAAAACGGUCAAACAUAUAACAUUUAAGGCUUUGGGCCUGGUUAUGGCAAUUUCAGUAAAACAAUAUAACAGUAUGAAAUAGCGUAUAGAAAACAUAAAAAAAGUAUAACUAAAGUUGGCAGCAUGGUGAGUUAUGGGUUAGUACAUCA